This 434-nucleotide ribosomal RNA is filed under the name uncultured Blautia sp. Its description in RNAcentral is "partial 16S ribosomal RNA". It matches the Rfam family "Bacterial small subunit ribosomal RNA", at positions 341 to 792 of the family's 1533-position model. Lineage: Bacteria; Bacillati; Bacillota; Clostridia; Lachnospirales; Lachnospiraceae. The record is from RNAcentral.
ACGGAAGGCAGCAGUGGGGAAUAUUGCACAAUGGGGGAAACCCUGAUGCAGCGACGCCGCGUGAAGGAAGAAGUAUCUCGGUAUGUAAACUUCUAUCAGCAGGGAAGAUAAUGACGGUACCUGACUAAGAAGCCCCGGCUAACUACGUGCCAGCAGCCGCGGUAAUACGUAGGGGGCAAGCGUUAUCCGGAUUUACUGGGUGUAAAGGGAGCGUAGACGGAUCGGCAAGUCUGAUGUGAAAGGCUGGGGCGCAACCCCGGGACUGCAUUGGAAACUGUCGGUCUUGAGUGCCGGAGGGGUAAGCGGAAUUCCUAGUGUAGCGGUGAAAUGCGUAGAUAUUAGGAGGAACACCAGUGGCGAAGGCGGCUUACUGGACGGUAACUGACGUUGAGGCUCGAAAGCGUGGGGAGCAAACAGGAUUAGAUACCCUGGUA